RNAcentral lists this ribosomal RNA (508 nucleotides) under uncultured bacterium. RNAcentral's name for it is "partial 16S ribosomal RNA". It matches the Rfam family "Bacterial small subunit ribosomal RNA", at positions 28 to 507 of the family's 1533-position model. The record is from RNAcentral.
GACGAACGCUGGCGGCGUGCUUAACACAUGCAGGUCGAACGGGCCUUGUCCCCUUUUUUUUUGGGGGUGGGGUUAGUGGCGAACGGGUGAGUAACACGUGAGUAACCUGCCCCUCACUUCUGGAUAACCGCUUGAAAGGGUGGCUAAUACGGGGUGUUCUGGCCUGCUCGCAUGGGUGGGUUUGGAAAGAUUCGACCGGUUUUGGUUGUUUUGGGGGGGGAUGGGCUCGCGGCCUAUCAGCUUGUUGGUGGGGUGAUGGCCUGCCAAGGCUUUGACGGGUAGCCGGCCUGAGAGGGUGGGCGGUCACACUGGGACUGAGACACGGCCCAGACUCCUACGGGAGGCAGCAGUGGGGAAUAUUGCACAAUGGGCGCAAGCCUGAUGCAGCGACGCCGCGUGAGGGAUGGAGGCCUUCGGGUUGUGAACCUCUUUCGCCAGUGAAGAAGGUCCUGCUCUUUGUGGUGGGGUUGACGGUAGCUGGGUUAAUGAAGCGCCGGCUAACUACGUG